Molecule: ribosomal RNA, 406 nt
Filed under: uncultured bacterium
Lineage: Bacteria
Description: partial 16S ribosomal RNA
Rfam family: Bacterial small subunit ribosomal RNA
Source: RNAcentral
AUUGAACGCUAGCGGCAGGCCUAACACAUGCAAGUCGAACGAGUGGCGGACGGGUGAGUAAUGUAUGGGAAACUGCCUGAUGGAGGGGGAUAACUACUGGAAACAGUGGCUAAUACCGCAUACCAUCAGAUGUGCCCAGAUGGGAUUAGCUUGUUGGUGGGGUAACGGCUCACCAAGGCGACGAUCCAUAGCUAGUCUGAGAGGAUGACCAGCCACACUGGAACGGAGACACGGCCCAGACUCCUACGGGAGGCAGCAGUGGGGAAUAUUGGACAAUGGGCGCAAGCCUGAUCCAGCCAUGCCGCGUGUAUGAAGAAGGCCUUCGGGUUGUAAAGUACUUUCAGCGGGGAAGCGUUAUCUGCAGAAUAAGCACCGGCUAACUCCGUGCCAGCAGCCGCGGUAAUUC